This 39-nucleotide ribosomal RNA is filed under the name Peromyscus maniculatus bairdii (prairie deer mouse). The record is from RNAcentral. Lineage: Eukaryota; Metazoa; Chordata; Mammalia; Rodentia; Cricetidae.
UGAACACACUUGAUCUACUCUGACUUCAGAAGCUAAGCA